RNAcentral lists this ribosomal RNA (497 nucleotides) under uncultured bacterium. RNAcentral's name for it is "partial 16S ribosomal RNA". It matches the Rfam family "Bacterial small subunit ribosomal RNA", at positions 28 to 507 of the family's 1533-position model. The record is from RNAcentral.
GAUGAACGCUGGCGGCGUGCCUAAUACAUACAAGUCGAGCGAACAGACGAGGAGCUUGCUCCUCUGACGUUAGCGGCGGACGGGUGAGUAACACGUGGAUAACCUACCUAUAAGACUGGGAUAACUUCGGGAAACCGGAGCUAAUACCGGAUAAUAUAUUGAACCGCAUGGUUCAAUAGUGAAAGACGGUUUUGCUGUCACUUAUAGAUGGAUCCGCGCCGCAUUAGCUAGUUGGUAAGGUAACGGCUUACCAAGGCAACGAUGCGUAGCCGACCUGAGAGGGUGAUCGGCCACACUGGAACUGAGACACGGUCCAGACUCCUACGGGAGGCAGCAGUAGGGAAUCUUCCGCAAUGGGCGAAAGCCUGACGGAGCAACGCCGCGUGAGUGAUGAGGGUCUUCGGAUCGUAAAACUCUGUUAUUAGGGAAGAACAAAUGUGUAAGUAACUAUGCACGUCUUGACGGUACCUAAUCAGAAAGCCACGGCUAACUACGUG